RNAcentral lists this long non-coding RNA (736 nucleotides) under Cyanistes caeruleus (blue tit). Its description in RNAcentral is "lncRNA (ENSCCEG00000010528.1)". Lineage: Eukaryota; Metazoa; Chordata; Aves; Passeriformes; Paridae. The record is from RNAcentral.
CACCAAGGCAAGAGCCCAGGUCUCUUGGCCUUGGCAACAGGCCUUCCCUGACAUUCAGACAGCCUCAGGGCCUUUCCUAUCUUUCUAAACACUUUCUUUCUCUCCUGUAGAGCUGCCUUAUUACAGCAAUAAAAAUAACAAGGUCCCUGCAGACCUCUUUAUAAAGAACAAUUUAGAGCCAGGAGUAAGUGUGAGGAUUGGGAUGAAAAUAGGCUAUCACAGUGCUAAUGUGAUAUACAGGUCAAAAAUCCCAACUGGUACAUGGAGCAAAAGAAUGGGCUCUGCUGCAGCAGGGGCAAGGGCAGCCACACCAUGGAGACAAAAGGCAAGACCUGCAGAAAAUGAAAGGAUUUCAUUCCCAUCUCCUGCUUCGUUUCAAAUGGAGGGUAAAGACGAAAGAGGCUAGGAUUUGUAAGGAGGAUUUCAGGGGAAGUGAGGUGUUCCUCUGCUUACACAGAAAUUUUGAUUACCUGCUUCAGGGCUGUUCUGUUCUAUGAUCCUUUCUUCCAGAGUGGUUGCCGUCCAAUACCUCUCAGUCUGAAAGGCUCCUGCUCUGCCUGGCAGCUGGAGCAGAAAGUGCUCCAAGCACGGGAGCCCUGACAAGGGGGCUCUUCUACUGACUUCCACUGAGGUGUGCUAGAUUCCAGUGUUUGCUCUGCAGCUCAGGAGAGCAGGCUCUGCUGGGCAGGAGGAGCUGCCCAGCACUGGGAUUUCCUGUGCGACAUCUUCCCUGCCA